Molecule: long non-coding RNA, 1278 nt
Filed under: Bemisia tabaci
Lineage: Eukaryota; Metazoa; Arthropoda; Insecta; Hemiptera; Aleyrodidae
Description: lncRNA ENSSSA2NGG005401
Source: RNAcentral
GCAAAAUUGCAGAGCUGACACAAACUUCUAGCAAGGAUGAAAAACCGAAGACCCAGCUUCCACAAACUAAAGUUUUUCUCAACUCAAAUUUGAAAAAUCGAGAUUGUCCAGUUUGCAAAGGCUCACAUUCGAUUUACAUCUGCGACGAAUUUAAACGUUAUCCUGUUCACGUCAGAAUUGAGUGCGUUAAAUCGCUGCACCGUUGCCAGCGCUGCUUAGGAACGCAUGAGGAUGAAUGUAAGAGUAAAUUUGCCUGCAAAGAAUGUAAUCAAAAAAUUCACCAUACGCUCCUGCAUUCAAACGAAAAUAGCUCACCCAAUCCUGCCGUAACUCAAAAUGACUCAACCUCUGAAGAAAAUUUCGAAGAUCAAAAAUCAAGCAUUAUGUUAACGAAUCUACAAGCCAAGUCAACGGAUCAUCAAGACUUUACUUUACUACUCGGCACUGCUCUCAUCACAGUGAAGGAUAUCAAUGGAAAAUAUCAGCACAUGCGCGCAGUUCUCGAUUCCGGUGCUAUGUCAUCUUUUGUCUCCGCUGAUUGCGCCAAACGCCUCGGGUUGCCACUUCUUCCCGAUAAUACCAGCAUCUCAGGCUUAGCUGAAAGUCAUGUUAACUCACUAGGAGCCAUAAAUUGCUUAGUGAAACCUAGGCAAACUGAUGAACCAAAGUUAAGGAUAAGAGCUAUCGUGAUUCCAGUCAUCACGGAAAAUCUGCCAUGCGUCAAGAUAUCAAAUGAAGUGAGACAAUUUUGGAGCAAGUUGAACUUAGCAGAUCCCAGUUUUGAUGAUACUAACGCCAAAAUUGACAUGCUUUUGGGCUCGGAAGUUUUUGUACGGAUUAUUUCAGGUCAAAAGAAAAUAACUAAUGAUUUAGGUCAUGCUCUUCACAGUAUUUAUGGCUGGGUGCUCAUGGGAAAGGUUCCCACGGAAAAGGUCCCGGAAAAGCAGACUACGUUUCUCAUGACAGAAAACAAUGAGAAUUUUCAAAAAGCUAUCACUUACGGUACAGCCUCAGCGCCAUUUUCAGCGCACAGAUCGCUUAAGCAGUUAGUGCUGGACGAAAAUAAUAAUAUUUCAGAAGCUGCAUGUCGUGUCUUUAAUGAAGAAACCUACCCUAAUGACUCCCUCUCAAGUGCAGAACCAAUCACAGAAGUCAUCAGACUAAGGAACGAAACACAUCAACUAUAUAGCCGAGGUCAUUUUUACCCCAAGCAAUGGGCAAAAAACCACCCAGAAGCUCUAGAAGGAUUGCCUGAGGCCGAAAUCACAUUGCCCUCUG